This is a long non-coding RNA of Panthera uncia (snow leopard), 577 nucleotides long. RefSeq lists it as uncharacterized. The transcript is spliced from 2 exons. The record is from RefSeq and is a predicted model, not a curated record. NCBI's taxonomy places the organism in Eukaryota, Metazoa, Chordata, Mammalia, Carnivora, Felidae.
AGAAACAAAUACACAGUUGGGGAGAAGUUUGGGUUCUAAACUAAGAGAUUAAGGAGACAUCAUAAUUCAAAGCAGAGAAACUCAACUAUGAGUGGGUCCUGAAAGUAGAGUCACUCUUGGGGAGAUUUGAAAAUGAACCAUUAGGGGCGCCUGGAAUUACUAUUUACUUUCUCAGGUGUGAUAACGGUCUGGAAGUGGCCUAGAACAUUCUCCUUAUUCUCAAAAAAUGCCUGCUAUUUAAACGGAAAGUGUCCCGAUGGCUGUAACUUCCAAAGAGUUCAACUAAAAACCCAUCAUUACGUGUACAUGUACAUGCACAUAAAGCAAAAGUGACAAAAUGUACGGGCACCUGGGUGGCUCAGUUAGUUAAGCAUCCAGCUUUGGCUCAGGUCAUGAUCUCAUGGCUCAUGAGUUUGAGCCCCAAGUCAGGUUCUGUGCUGACAGUUCAGAGCCUGAAGCCUGCUUCAGAUUCUGUGUCUCCCUCUCUCUCUACCCCUCCCCUGCUCGUGCUUUCUCUCAGAAAUAAAUAAACAUUAAAAAAAAAAAUUUUUUUUAAGUGGCAAAAAUGUUAAAAUUA